Molecule: ribosomal RNA, 119 nt
Filed under: Pteropus alecto (black flying fox)
Lineage: Eukaryota; Metazoa; Chordata; Mammalia; Chiroptera; Pteropodidae
Source: RNAcentral
GUCCAUGGCCAUGCCACCCUGAACGUGCCGGAUCUCGUCUGAUCUCGGAAGCUAAGCAGGGUUGAGCCUGGUUAGUACUUGGAUGGGAGACCACAUAGGAAUGCCAGGUGCUGUAGGCA